GGAAUAUUGGUCAAUGGGCGCAAGCCUGAACCAGCCAUGCCGCGUGCAGGAUGACGGUCCUAUGGAUUGUAAACUGCUUUUGUACGAGAAGAAACAACUCUACGUGUAGAGUCUUGACGGUAUCGUAAGAAUAAGGAUCGGCUAACUCCGUGCCAGCAGCCGCGGUAAUACGGAGGAUCCAAGCGUUAUCCGGAAUCAUUGGGUUUAAAGGGUCCGUAGGCGGUUUAGUAAGUCAGUGGUGAAAGCCCAUCGCUCAACGGUGGAACGGCCAUUGAUACUGCUAAACUUGAAUUAUUAGGAAGUAACUAGAAUAUGUAGUGUAGCGGUGAAAUGCUUAGAGAUUACAUGGAAUACCAAUUGCGAAGGCAGGUUACUACUAAUGGAUUGACGCUGAUGGACGAAAGCGUGGGUAGCGAACAGGAUUAGAUACCCCAG
RNAcentral lists this ribosomal RNA (435 nucleotides) under uncultured Flavobacterium sp. RNAcentral describes it as "bacterial SSU rRNA". It matches the Rfam family "Bacterial small subunit ribosomal RNA", at positions 358 to 790 of the family's 1533-position model. Lineage: Bacteria; Pseudomonadati; Bacteroidota; Flavobacteriia; Flavobacteriales; Flavobacteriaceae. The record is from RNAcentral.